This 29-nucleotide non-coding RNA is filed under the name Rattus norvegicus (Norway rat). Lineage: Eukaryota; Metazoa; Chordata; Mammalia; Rodentia; Muridae. The record is from RNAcentral.
UAAACAGCGUGAUCUCUCUCAGUUCUGUC